Molecule: ribosomal RNA, 497 nt
Filed under: uncultured bacterium
Lineage: Bacteria
Description: partial 16S ribosomal RNA
Rfam family: Bacterial small subunit ribosomal RNA
Source: RNAcentral
GAUGAACGCUGGCGGCGUGCCUAAUACAUGCAAGUCGAGCGAACAGACGAGGAGCUUGCUCCUCUGACGUUAGCGGCGGACGGGUGAGUAACACGUGGAUAACCUACCUAUAAGACUGGGAUAACUUCGGGAAACCGGAGCUAAUACCGGAUAACAUGUUGAACCGCAUGGUUCAAGAGUGAAAGACGGUCUUGCUGUCACUUAUAGAUGGAUCCGCGCCGGAUUAGCUAGUUGGUAAGGUAACGGCUUACCAAGGCAACGAUGCGUAGCCGACCUGAGAGGGUGAUCGGCCACACUGGAACUGAGACACGGUCCAGACUCCUGCGGGAGGCAGCAGUAGGGAAUCUUCCGCAAUGGGCGAAAGCCUGACGGAGCAACGCCGCGUGAGUGAAGAAGGUCUUCGGAUCGUAAAGCUCUGUUAUUAGGGAAGAACAAAUGUGUAAGUAACUAUGCACGUCUUGACGGUACCUAAUCAAAAAGCCACGGCUAACUACGUG